RNAcentral lists this ribosomal RNA (442 nucleotides) under uncultured bacterium. RNAcentral describes it as "partial 16S ribosomal RNA". It matches the Rfam family "Bacterial small subunit ribosomal RNA", at positions 338 to 795 of the family's 1533-position model. The record is from RNAcentral.
CCUACGUGAGGCAGCAGUGGGGAAUAUUGGGCAAUGGACGAAAGCCUGACCCAGCCACGCCGCGUGAAGGAAGAAGGCUUUCUGGUUGUACACUUCUUUUGACAGGGAAGUGCAGAAGACGGUACCUGUCGAAUAAGCCACGGCUAACUACUUCCCAGCAGCCGAGGUAAUACGUAGGUGGCAAGCGUUGUCCGGGUUUCGUGGGUGUACAGGGCGUGUAGCCGGGCUGACCAGCCAGCUGUGAAGUCCGGGGGCUCCACCCCCGAACUGCAUUUGACACUGGUGGUCUUGAGUAUCGGUGAGGCAGGCGGAAUUCGUAGUGUAGCGGUGAAAUGCGUAGAUAGUAGGAGGAACACCAGUGGCGAAGGCGGCCUGCUGGACGACAACUGACGGUGAGGCGCGAAAGCGUGGGGAGCAAACAGGAUUAGAGACCCUUGUAGUC